Molecule: ribosomal RNA, 441 nt
Filed under: uncultured bacterium
Lineage: Bacteria
Description: partial 16S ribosomal RNA
Rfam family: Bacterial small subunit ribosomal RNA
Source: RNAcentral
CCUACGGGGGGCAGCAGUCGGGAAUAUUGCGCAAUGGAGGAAACUCUGACGCAGUGACGCCGCGUAUAGGAAGAAGGUUUUCGGAUUGUAAACUAUUGUCGUUAGGGAAGAUAAAAGUCUGUAUCUAAGGAGGAAGCCCCGGCUAACUAUGCGCCAGCAGCCGCGGUAAUACAUAGGGGGCAAGCGUUAUCCGGAAUUAUUGGGUGUAAAGGGUGCGUAGACGGAAGAACAAGUUGGUUGUGAAAUCCCGCGGCGUAACUGAGGAACUGCCACCAAAAAUAAUGUCCUUGAGUGUUGGAGAGGAAAGUGGAAUUCCGUGUGUAGCGGUGAAAUGCGUAGAUAUUAGGAGGAACACCAGUGGCGAAGGCGGCUUUCUGGACGGUAACUGACGUUGAGGCACGAAAGUGUGGGGAGCAAACAGGAUUAGAUACCCUUGUAGUC